AGCGAACGCUGGCGGCAGGCCUAACACAUGCAAGUCGAACGAACCUUUCGGGGUUAGUGGCGGACGGGUGAGUAACACGUGGGAACGUGCCUUUAGGUUCGGAAUAACUCAGGGAAACUUGUGCUAAUACCGAAUGUGCCCUUCGGGGGAAAGAUUUAUCGCCUUUAGAGCGGCCCGCGUCUGAUUAGCUAAUUGGUUGAGGUAAUGGCUCACCAAGGCGACGAUCAGUAGCUGGUCUGAGAGGAUGAUCAGCCACAUUGGGACUGAGACACGGCCCAAACUCCUACGGGAGGAAGCAGUGGGGAAUCUUGCGCAAUGGGCGAAAGCCUGACGCAGCCAUGCCGCGUGAAUGAUGAAGGUAUUAGGAUUGUAAAAUUAUUUCACCGGGGACGAUAAUGACGGUACCCGGAGAAGAAGCCCCGGCUAACUUCGUG
Molecule: ribosomal RNA, 434 nt
Filed under: uncultured bacterium
Lineage: Bacteria
Description: partial 16S ribosomal RNA
Rfam family: Bacterial small subunit ribosomal RNA
Source: RNAcentral